This 476-nucleotide ribosomal RNA is filed under the name uncultured bacterium. RNAcentral describes it as "bacterial SSU rRNA". It matches the Rfam family "Bacterial small subunit ribosomal RNA", at positions 32 to 507 of the family's 1533-position model. The record is from RNAcentral.
AGACGCUGCGGCGUGCUAAUACAUGCAAGUCAACUUGACUCUAGGUAGCAAUACUGAAAAGUAGAGUGGCGCACGGGUGCGUAACGCGUAGGUAAUCUGCCCUAAGGUCUGACAUAACCUAGCCGAAAGGCAGGCUAAUAUCAGAUGAUACAAAUUCACGACAUCGUGGAAUUGUCAAAUCUUCGGAGCCAUAGGAUGAGCCUGCGUCUGAUUAGGUAGUUGGCGGAGUAAUAGCCCACCAAGCCUACGAUCAGUAGCUGGUCUGAGAGGAUGAUCAGCCACACUGGAACUGAGACACGGUCCAGACUCCUACGGGAGGCAGCAGUAAGGAAUAUUGCUCAAUGGGGGAAACCCUGAAGCAGCAACGCCGCGUGAAGGAUGACGUACUUUUGUAUGUAAACUUCUGUAAGAUAGGAAAAAUAUUCCCCUCGGGGGAAUUGAUUGUACUAUCAGAGUAAGCCCCGGCUAACUACGUG